UAAAAAAGAAAAAGAGGUUUCCCUCUCUCUCUCUCUCUAUAUAAAACUCAGCCUGGCUUUGAUAAAACCAUGAAGUGGGGGAGUCAACAAUGAAGAGGUCUUCCUAUAGUAAUAAUAAUGCAGUUUUCUUUUCGGUGCUUGUGGUGUCUAUACUUUUAUCAAUGGCGAGUUCAGGUGAUCUCUUAGCUGAAGCCACAAUUCCCGACUUCUCAGCUCUCCAAGAAAAUUUAGUCAGUUUAAAUUUGGCACGUCGAAAUCUAAAGACAGAUCCUCCAAGCACGUUGCAUAGCCCAACACAAGCCGAGCGCCCAGGCCAACAUAACUAAGUCUUCCGCAAGAUUAGGUCCAUGCACUUAAUUUCUGCUAAUUAAUAUCAUCUUGCAAUUGUAUUUUUUUAUGUUUAAGAUGUUAUAUGUUUUAUAUAAAUUUUGAUGCUUUAAUAAUCUAUAUGAUUUCUUGUUGGUGUAUACGUUAUGUAAUUGUAUCACACCUAAAAUUAUUAUGUCUAGUAAGAGCAUGUAUGCCAAGAGAAAUAAAUCCUCUUUUUUUUCUUAAUUCGUUGAUAUUUGAAGUUCUCAUAUUGAAGUGAAUUUGUUAGAAAUGAUCUUAUUUUUAAAA
Molecule: long non-coding RNA, 618 nt
Organism: Gossypium arboreum
Lineage: Eukaryota; Viridiplantae; Streptophyta; Magnoliopsida; Malvales; Malvaceae
Exons: 2
Source: RefSeq, a predicted model, not a curated record